Molecule: unclassified non-coding RNA, 296 nt
Filed under: uncultured fungus
Lineage: Eukaryota; Fungi
Description: partial contains 5.8S ribosomal RNA, internal transcribed spacer 2, and large subunit ribosomal RNA
Rfam family: 5.8S ribosomal RNA (bases 1-52)
Source: RNAcentral
AACGCACCUUGCACUCCUUGGUAUUCCGAGGAGUAUGCCUGUUUGAGUGUCAUGAAUUUCUCAACCUUUCCACGCUGGUGGUUAGGCUUGGAUUAUGGGAGUUUUUGUCGGCUUGCAAUGGUCGGCUCUCCUAAAAUACAUUAGCAACAUCAUAGCUGGAUCAACUUUGGUAUGAUAAUUAAUCUGUAUCAAUGGUUGAGACAGACAACAGGAUAUUGCUUCCAAUUGGUCUCACUCUUGAGAUAGCACUUGAUAAUUUUGACCUCAAAUCAGGUAGGACUACCCGCUGAACUUAA